This 1653-nucleotide ribosomal RNA is filed under the name Salmonella enterica. RNAcentral's name for it is "partial 23S ribosomal RNA". It matches the Rfam family "Bacterial large subunit ribosomal RNA", at positions 1292 to 2925 of the family's 2925-position model. Lineage: Bacteria; Pseudomonadati; Pseudomonadota; Gammaproteobacteria; Enterobacterales; Enterobacteriaceae. The record is from RNAcentral.
GAAUGCUGACAUAAGUAACGAUAAAGCGGGUGAAAAGCCCGCUCGCCGGAAGACCAAGGGUUCCUGUCCAACGUUAAUCGGGGCAGGGUGAGUCGACCCCUAAGGCGAGGCCGAAAGGCGUAGUCGAUGGGAAACGGGUUAAUAUUCCCGUACUUGGUGUUACUGCGAAGGGGGGACGGAGAAGGCUAUGUUGGCCGGGCGACGGUAGUCCCGGUUUAAGCGUGUAGGCUGGUUUUCCAGGCAAAUCCGGAAAAUCAAGGCUGAGGCGUGAUGACGAGGCACCACGGUGCUGAAGCAACAAAUGCCCUGCUUCCAGGAAAAGCCUCUAAGCAUCAGGUAACAUCAAAUCGUACCCCAAACCGACACAGGUGGUCAGGUAGAGAAUACCAAGGCGCUUGAGAGAACUCGGGUGAAGGAACUAGGCAAAAUGGUGCCGUAACUUCGGGAGAAGGCACGCUGACACGUAGGUGAAGUGAUUUACUCACGGAGCUGAAGUCAGUCGAAGAUACCAGCUGGCUGCAACUGUUUAUUAAAAACACAGCACUGUGCAAACACGAAAGUGGACGUAUACGGUGUGACGCCUGCCCGGUGCCGGAAGGUUAAUUGAUGGGGUCAGCGCAAGCGAAGCUCCUGAUCGAAGCCCCGGUAAACGGCGGCCGUAACUAUAACGGUCCUAAGGUAGCGAAAUUCCUUGUCGGGUAAGUUCCGACCUGCACGAAUGGCGUAAUGAUGGCCAGGCUGUCUCCACCCGAGACUCAGUGAAAUUGAACUCGCUGUGAAGAUGCAGUGUACCCGCGGCAAGACGGAAAGACCCCGUGAACCUUUACUAUAGCUUGACACUGAACAUUGAGCCUUGAUGUGUAGGAUAGGUGGGAGGCUUUGAAGCGUGGACGCCAGUCUGCGUGGAGCCGACCUUGAAAUACCACCCUUUAAUGUUUGAUGUUCUAACGUGGACCCGUAAUCCGGGUUGCGGACAGUGUCUGGUGGGUAGUUUGACUGGGGCGGUCUCCUCCUAAAGAGUAACGGAGGAGCACGAAGGUUGGCUAAUCCUGGUCGGACAUCAGGAGGUUAGUGCAAUGGCAUAAGCCAGCUUGACUGCGAGCGUGACGGCGCGAGCAGGUGCGAAAGCAGGUCAUAGUGAUCCGGUGGUUCUGAAUGGAAGGGCCAUCGCUCAACGGAUAAAAGGUACUCCGGGGAUAACAGGCUGAUACCGCCCAAGAGUUCAUAUCGACGGCGGUGUUUGGCACCUCGAUGUCGGCUCAUCACAUCCUGGGGCUGAAGUAGGUCCCAAGGGUAUGGCUGUUCGCCAUUUAAAGUGGUACGCGAGCUGGGUUUAGAACGUCGUGAGACAGUUCGGUCCCUAUCUGCCGUGGGCGCUGGAAGACUGAGGGGGGCUGCUCCUAGUACGAGAGGACCGGAGUGGACGCAUCACUGGUGUUCGGGUUGUCAUGCCAAUGGCACUGCCCGGUAGCUAAAUGCGGAAAAGAUAAGUGCUGAAAGCAUCUAAGCACGAAACUUGCCCCGAGAUGAGUCUUCCCUGAGACUUUGAGUCUCCUGAAGGAACGUUAAAGACGAUGACGUUGAUAGGCCGGGUGUGUAAGCGCAGCGAUGCGUUGAGCUAACCGGUACUAAUGAACCGUGAGGCUUAACCUU